RNAcentral lists this ribosomal RNA (304 nucleotides) under uncultured bacterium. RNAcentral's name for it is "bacterial SSU rRNA". It matches the Rfam family "Bacterial small subunit ribosomal RNA", at positions 775 to 1071 of the family's 1533-position model. The record is from RNAcentral.
AGUCAAUAGAUACCCGGGUAGUCCACGCCGUAAACGAUGAAUACUAGGUGUAGGAGGUAUCGACUCCUUCUGUGCCGCAGUUAAACACAAUAAGUAUUCCGCCUGGGGAGUACGGUCGCAAGAUUAAAACUCAAAGGAAUUGACGGGGGCCCGGCACAAGCAGCGGAGCAUGUGGUUUAAUUCGAAGACAACGACGAAGAACCGUUACCUAGACUUGACAUCUUCUGCAUUAAUCGUAAUGGAUGAAAUCCCUUCGGGGACAGAAUGACAGUGGUGCAUGGUUGUCGUCAGCCCGUGUCGUGAG